AUGUACCACUCGUACACUCCGGUUCCUCGGCGCCGUCCACACCCGCCUGACGACUGCUCGCUACGUUUUGUUAGCC
This 76-nucleotide small RNA is filed under the name Xanthomonas floridensis. Its description in RNAcentral is "sX9 sRNA". It matches the Rfam family "Xanthomonas sRNA sX9". Lineage: Bacteria; Pseudomonadati; Pseudomonadota; Gammaproteobacteria; Lysobacterales; Lysobacteraceae. The record is from RNAcentral.